UUAAUGAGAGUUUGAUCCUGGCUCAGGACGAACGCUGGCGGCGUGCCUAAUACAUGCAAGUAGAACGCUGAAGAGAGGAGCUUGCUCUUCUUGGAUGAGUUGCGAACGGGUGAGUAACGCGUAGGUAACCUGCCUGGUAGCGGGGGAUAACUAUUGGAAACGAUAGCUAAUACCGCAUGAUAUUAAUUGUCGCAUGAUAAUUAAUUGAAAGAUGCAAUUGCAUCACUACCAGAUGGACCUGCGUUGUAUUAGCUAGUUGGUGAGGUAACGGCUCACCAAGGCGACGAUACAUAGCCGACCUGAGAGGGUGAUCGGCCACACUGGGACUGAGACACGGCCCAGACUCCUACGGGAGGCAGCAGUAGGGAAUCUUCGGCAAUGGACGGAAGUCUGACCGAGCAACGCCGCGUGAGUGAAGAAGGUUUUCGGAUCGUAAAGCUCUGUUGUAAGAGAAGAACGAGUGUGAGAGUGGAAAGUUCACACUGUGACGGUAUCUUACCAGAAAGGGACGGCUAACUACGUGCCAGCAGCCGCGGUAAUACGUAGGUCCCGAGCGUUGUCCGGAUUUAUUGGGCGUAAAGCGAGCGCAGGCGGUUAGAUAAGUCUGAAGUUAAAGGCUGUGGCUUAACCAUAGUAUGCUUUGGAAACUGUUUAAC
RNAcentral lists this ribosomal RNA (656 nucleotides) under Salmonella enterica subsp. enterica serovar Enteritidis str. P125109. Its description in RNAcentral is "bacterial SSU rRNA". It matches the Rfam family "Bacterial small subunit ribosomal RNA", at positions 1 to 641 of the family's 1533-position model. The record is from RNAcentral. Lineage: Bacteria; Pseudomonadati; Pseudomonadota; Gammaproteobacteria; Enterobacterales; Enterobacteriaceae.